ACUGUGUGUUGUUGGGUAGGGGAGCGUUCUGUAAGCCUGUGAAGGUGGCCUGUGAGGGUUGCUGGAGGUAUCAGAAGUGCGAAUGCUGACAUAAGUAACGAUAAAGCGGGUGAAAAGCCCGCUCGCCGGAAGACCAAGGGUUCCUGUCCAACGUUAAUCGGGGCAGGGUGAGUCGACCCCUAAGGCGAGGCCGAAAGGCGUAGUCGAUGGGAAACGGGUUAAUAUUCCCGUACUUGGUGUUACUGCGAAGGGGGGACGGAGAAGGCUAUGUUGGCCGGGCGACGGUUGUCCCGGUUUAAGCGUGUAGGUGUGUGUUCCAGGUAAAUCCGGUUCACUUUAACACUGAGGCGUGAUGACGAGGCACUACGGUGCUGAAGCAACAAAUGCCCUGCUUCCAGGAAAAGCCUCUAAGCAUCAGGUAACAUCAAAUCGUACCCCAAACCGACACAGGUGGUCAGGUAGAGAAUACCAAGGCGCUUGAGAGAACUCGGGUGAAGGAACUAGGCAAAAUGGUGCCGUAACUUCGGGAGAAGGCACGCUGACACGUAGGUGAAGUGAUUUACUCAUGGAGCUGAAGUCAGUCGAAGAUACCAGCUGGCUGCAACUGUUUAUUAAAAACACAGCACUGUGCAAACACGAAAGUGGACGUAUACGGUGUGACGCCUGCCCGGUGCCGGAAGGUUAAUUGAUGGGGUCAGCGCAAGCGAAGCUCCUGAUCGAAGCCCCGGUAAACGGCGGCCGUAACUAUAACGGUCCUAAGGUAGCGAAAUUCCUUGUCGGGUAAGUUCCGACCUGCACGAAUGGCGUAAUGAUGGCCAGGCUGUCUCCACCCGAGACUCAGUGAAAUUGAACUCGCUGUGAAGAUGCAGUGUACCCGCGGCAAGACGGAAAGACCCCGUGAACCUUUACUAUAGCUUGACACUGAACAUUGAGCCUUGAUGUGUAGGAUAGGUGGGAGGCUUUGAAGUGUGGACGCCAGUCUGCAUGGAGCCGACCUUGAAAUACCACCCUUUAAUGUUUGAUGUUCUAACGUGGACCCGUAAUCCGGGUUGCGGACAGUGUCUGGUGGGUAGUUUGACUGGGGCGGUCUCCUCCUAAAGAGUAACGGAGGAGCACGAAGGUUGGCUAAUCCUGGUCGGACAUCAGGAGGUUAGUGCAAUGGCAUAAGCCAGCUUGACUGCGAGCGUGACGGCGCGAGCAGGUGCGAAAGCAGGUCAUAGUGAUCCGGUGGUUCUGAAUGGAAGGGCCAUCGCUCAACGGAUAAAAGGUACUCCGGGGAUAACAGGCUGAUACCGCCCAAGAGUUCAUAUCGACGGCGGUGUUUGGCACCUCGAUGUCGGCUCAUCACAUCCUGGGGCUGAAGUAGGUCCCAAGGGUAUGGCUGUUCGCCAUUUAAAGUGGUACGCGAGCUGGGUUUAGAACGUCGUGAGACAGUUCGGUCCCUAUCUGCCGUGGGCGCUGGAGAACUGAGGGGGGCUGCUCCUAGUACGAGAGGACCGGAGUGGACGCAUCACUGGUGUUCGGGUUGUCAUGCCAAUGGCACUGCCCGGUAGCUAAAUGCGGAAGAGAUAAGUGCUGAAAGCAUCUAAGCACGAAACUUGCCCCGAGAUGAGUUCUCCCUGAGACUUAGAGUCUCCUGAAGGAACGUUGAAGACGACGACGUUGAUAGGCCGGGUGUGUAAGCGCAG
RNAcentral lists this ribosomal RNA (1688 nucleotides) under Salmonella enterica subsp. enterica serovar Agona. Its description in RNAcentral is "partial 23S ribosomal RNA". It matches the Rfam family "Bacterial large subunit ribosomal RNA", at positions 1213 to 2878 of the family's 2925-position model. The record is from RNAcentral. Lineage: Bacteria; Pseudomonadati; Pseudomonadota; Gammaproteobacteria; Enterobacterales; Enterobacteriaceae.